GACAGGUGGUGCAUGGUUGUCGUCAGCUCGUGUCGUGAGAUGUUGGGUUAAGUCCCGCAACGAGCGCAACCCCUAUCUUCAGUAGCCAGCAUUUUGGAUGGGCACUCUGGAGAGACUGCCAGGGACAACCUGGAGGAAGGUGGGGAUGACGUCAAAUCAUCAUGCCCCUUAUGGCCAGGGCUACACACGUGCUACAAUGGCGUAAACAAAGGGAAGCAGCCAUGUGAAUGUGAGCAAAUCCCAAAAAUAACGUCUCAGUUCGGAUUGUAGUCUGCAACUCGACUACAUGAAGCUGGAAUCGCUAGUAAUCGCGAAUCAGAAUGUCGCGGUGAAUACGUUCCCGGGUCUUGUACACACCGCCCGUCACACCAUGGGAGUCAGUAACGCCCGAAGCCGGUGACCUAACCGAAAGGGAGGAGCCGUCGAAGGUGGGACCGAUAACUGGGGUGAAGUCGUAACAAGGUAGCCGUAUCGGAAGGUGCGGCUGGAUCACCUC
This 496-nucleotide ribosomal RNA is filed under the name uncultured bacterium. Its description in RNAcentral is "bacterial SSU rRNA". It matches the Rfam family "Bacterial small subunit ribosomal RNA", at positions 1033 to 1529 of the family's 1533-position model. The record is from RNAcentral.